This 252-nucleotide ribosomal RNA is filed under the name uncultured bacterium. RNAcentral's name for it is "partial 16S ribosomal RNA". It matches the Rfam family "Bacterial small subunit ribosomal RNA", at positions 524 to 776 of the family's 1533-position model. The record is from RNAcentral.
UACGUAGGUCCCGAGCGUUGUCCGGAUUUAUUGGGCGUAAAGCGAGCGCAGGUGGUUUAUUAAGUCUGGUGUAAAAGGCAGUGGCUCAACCAUUGUAUGCAUUGGAAACUGGUAGACUUGAGUGCAGGAGAGGAGAGUGGAAUUCCAUGUGUAGCGGUGAAAUGCGUAGAUAUAUGGAGGAACACCGGCGGCGAAAGCGACUCUCUGGUCUGUAACUGACGCUGAGGUUCGAAAGCGUGGGUAGCAAACAGG